RNAcentral lists this ribosomal RNA (570 nucleotides) under Colletotrichum acutatum. RNAcentral describes it as "eukaryotic LSU rRNA". The stretch from base 227 to 380 matches the Rfam family "5.8S ribosomal RNA". The record is from RNAcentral. Lineage: Eukaryota; Fungi; Ascomycota; Sordariomycetes; Glomerellales; Glomerellaceae.
GUCGUAACAAGGUCUCCGUUGGUGAACCAGCGGAGGGAUCAUUACUGAGUUACCGCUCUAUAACCCUUUGUGAACGUACCUAACCGUUGCUUCGGCGGGCAGGGGAAGCCUCUCGCGGGCCUCCCCUCCCGGCGCCGGCCCCCACCACGGGGACGGGGCGCCCGCCGGAGGAAACCAAACCCUAUUUACACGACGUCUCUUCUGAGUGGCACAAGCAAAUAAUUAAAACUUUUAACAACGGAUCUCUUGGUUCUGGCAUCGAUGAAGAACGCAGCGAAAUGCGAUAAGUAAUGUGAAUUGCAGAAUUCGGUGAAUCAUCGAAUCUUUGAACGCACAUUGCGCUCGCCAGCAUUCUGGCGAGCAUGCCUGUUCGUGCGUCAUUUCAACCCUCAAGUACCGCUUGGUUUUGUGGCCCCACGGCCGACGUGGGCCCUUAAAGGUAGUGGCGGACCCUCCCGGAGCCUCCUUUGCGUAGUAACUAACGUCUCGCACUGGGAUCCGGAGGGACUCUUGCCGUUAAACCCCCAAAUUCUUUACAGGUUGACCUCGGAUCAGGUAGGAAUACCCGCU